RNAcentral lists this non-coding RNA (821 nucleotides) under Chiasmocleis sp. MHNC 10266. RNAcentral's name for it is "partial small subunit ribosomal RNA". It matches the Rfam family "Bacterial small subunit ribosomal RNA". The record is from RNAcentral. Lineage: Eukaryota; Metazoa; Chordata; Amphibia; Anura; Microhylidae.
AGCCUUUUCACCAACCAUUACCCACCUUACACAUGCAAGUAUCUGCACACCCGUGAGAACGCCCUCCCCCCUCACUCAGGAAGAGGAGCUGGUAUCAGGCACAUACUAAGCCCACAACACCUAGCUACGCCACACCCAUAAGGGUACUCAGCAGUGAUAUACAUUGAUUAUAAGCGCCAGCUUGAAUCAGCCCGGGUAAAUAGAGCCGGCAAAUCCGGUGCCAGCCGCCGCGGCUACACCGUUAGGCCCAAGUUGAUGUACUCCGGCGUUAAGCGUGGUUAAAGUCAUAUUCCUCAUUUAGAACCAAACUUCAACCAAGUUGUAACACACCUGUCCCUUGAAACUCAAAACGAAAGUUGUUCUAACCAAUCCACUUGACGCCACGACAAUUAGAGCACAAACUGGGAUUAGAUACCCCACUAUGUCUAACUGUAAAAUAUUCACUUACACCAGAACCGCCCAGGAAUUACGAGCUAAAAACUUAAAACCCAAAGGACUUGACGGUGUCCCACCUACCUAGAGGAGCCUGUUCUGUAAUCGAUUUCCCCCGAUAAACCUCACCACUUCUAGCCCUCAGCCUGUAUACCUCCGUCGUAAGCUUACCAUGUGAACGAACCCAGUGAGCCCAAAGGCUUUCCCGCCCAUACGUCAGGUCAAGGUGCAGCUAACGAAUUGGGAAGAAAUGGGCUACAAUCUCUACCUUAGAACAAACGAAAGACUACAUGAAAUACAGUCACUGAAGGCGGAUUUAGUAGUAAAAAGAAAAUAGAGAGUUCUUUUUAAUUAGGCACUGGGACGCGUACACACCGCCCGUCACCCUC